RNAcentral lists this ribosomal RNA (334 nucleotides) under uncultured eukaryote. Its description in RNAcentral is "partial 18S ribosomal RNA". It matches the Rfam family "Eukaryotic small subunit ribosomal RNA", at positions 1470 to 1796 of the family's 1831-position model. The record is from RNAcentral.
CCCUUAGAUGUCCGGGGCCGCACGCGCGCUACACUGAAGGAAUCAGCGUGGCUUUCUCCCUGACCCGAAAGGGUUGGGAAACCCGUUGAAUCUCCUUCGUGAUAGGGAUUGGGGCUUGAAAUUGUUCCCCAUGAACGAGGAAUUUCCAGUAAGCGCGAGUCAUAAGCUCGCGUUGAUUACGUCCCUGCCCUUUGUACACACCGCCCGUCGCUACUACCGAUUGAACGGUUUAGUGAGGGCCUCGGAUUGGUCUCGGCCCGCUCUUUACCGGGCGGCGCCGUUGGUCGAGAAGACGCUCGAACUUGAUCGUUUAGAGGAAGUAAAAGUCGUAACA